CCUACGGGUGGCAGCAGUGGGGAAUAUUGCACAAUGGGCGAAACCCUGAUGCAGCGACGCCGCGUGAGCGAAGAAGUAUUUCGGUAUGUAAAGCUCUAUCAGCAGGGAAGAAAAUGACGGUACCUGAGUACGAAGCGCCGGCUGAAUACGUGCCAGCAGCCGCGGUAAUUCGUAUGGAACAAGCGUUAUCCGGAUUUACUGGGCGUAAAGGGGGCGUAGGCGGGCUGCCAAGUCUGAUGUGAAAUACCGGGGCUCAACCCCGGGGGUGCAGUGGAAACUGGCAGGCUGGAGUGCCGGAGAGGUAGGCGGAAUUCCUGGUGUAGCGGUGAAAUGCGUAGAUAUUAGGAGGAACACCAGUGGCGAAGGCGGCAUGCUGGACGGUGACUGACGCUGAGGCUCGAAAGCGUGGGGAGCAAACAGGAUUAGAUACCCUUGUAGUC
Molecule: ribosomal RNA, 440 nt
Filed under: uncultured bacterium
Lineage: Bacteria
Description: partial 16S ribosomal RNA
Rfam family: Bacterial small subunit ribosomal RNA
Source: RNAcentral